CUGGAUGACACUUUUCUACAACUAACAACAAUCCUCAGUUACAAAUGCCAAACAGGAAGAGCACAUCUGUGAAAAACAAGCCUCUUAAACUGAACGAAUGAGUAACAAUGAUGUGUGGGUUGUGCUUUCUAUGCAGCAAACUCUGGGAAGACCUUUCUGUGAAGAGCUAUCUGAGAACAAUUGGAGACUCUUUGGUGUUCCUACUCGCCUCCCACAGCCCUUUGUGUCAGCAGCUCAGCAGAGGGAGUCUGACAGCAAGAUUCUUUUGUCAUGUGAAAUCUCAGGUACCUCCAGGACACCCUGCAACAUGUUCCAUGUUGUACACAAUGCAAGCCAUUGGGAAUAUUCAGCAUUGGUACCAACAAGGGGUGUUCUGAUCUGUUCUGUGCCCACCCUGAGUGCAAGAACAACACGGCUCAAGAGCCACCUGUGCACUCCUGCCAUGACAAACACCCUGCAAAGAUCCAUCACACCAUAAAGAACUUCCUUCAUGGAUCCAGGCUGCAGGAUUAUUGCUUCAGUUGUUUCUUUUUACAAAUAGCAAGAAAACAAUGACAUGUCUCUCAAAGUUCACCUGGAGAACAUGCCACAAUCCUGCUUCAUGAGCUGAAGCCUAUGGAUUUCAACUUUGGUUUGGAUUUUGGUUUUCAUAUGCUUAACAAAAUACUUACAAAAACUCAGGUGUUACUGUUAUCAAUAUCUCCUCUAGCAAACUGCAGUAGAUGCUUUGCUAUAUUAGAUCAUAUAUAACUUUGCAUAUUAAAAAAGUAGAUGGAAAUACCAACUUACAUUUAUUUUAAUAAGAUUGUGUAAUUUGAGGUUUAUAGAGCCAUGCAUAAAGCAUUUGUUAUUCCACCUUUAACAAAAUUGAUCCAUUAACUCUGACCAUAUUUUUAGUACAUAGUUUGCUACAAAAGCAUUAGGACACAUUAUGAAUCAUUCUGGCAUUAUGAGAGUUAAUAGAAUACUAUAUAUUUUUCAGGAUUAUUAAUAUUUAGUGUCAUGCAGUAAAUUAAAAAAUCAAGUUUAACUAAGGUUAAAAAUAUCUGAUGAUACAGUACAUAGAUGAUUGUAAAUGUAUAUUAAUGAAGCUUUACACAAUUGACUGGGUAUCUUUUCGUUAAUCACUCACAAACCCAUGCCAAACAUAUAUCAAAGACUUCAGCUCCUUUUUCAUCCAAUCUUCCGACAUUUCAUUAUUAUGGUUACCUGAUUAAUGGAUGCAAUAAUAUAUGUGGCAUGAUAUGAUAUGUUCACAUUAAAUUUUAAUCAAAUAUUACUAAAUUCAGAAAACAUUAAGUAAAUCAUGACUGAUGAGGCAAUAUUGCUGUACUGUCGUAUUGAUGGUUAGAGAAACUCACUAUGGAGUUACAGAUUAAGGAGGAGAAGUAAAUCUUAUGAGGAAAUAGAAGUAUCUCAAGUUUAACUAGUUGGUUCUUUCAAAAUUGCCUUCCAGCCAAAGGCUGAAUAUUAGAUCC
This 1478-nucleotide long non-coding RNA is filed under the name Zonotrichia albicollis (white-throated sparrow). RNAcentral describes it as "lncRNA (ENSZALG00000010461.1)". Lineage: Eukaryota; Metazoa; Chordata; Aves; Passeriformes; Passerellidae. The record is from RNAcentral.